GGAGGUGACAGGAGUCUGGUGGCUCCCCUGGUCUUCAAAACCAAGGACGCGUCGCAACGGCGCGUGGUGGGUUCGAUUCCCAUCCACCUCCGCCA
This 95-nucleotide transfer RNA is filed under the name Sulfitobacter alexandrii. RNAcentral describes it as "Sulfitobacter sp. AM1-D1 tRNA-Sec". It matches the Rfam family "Selenocysteine transfer RNA". Lineage: Bacteria; Pseudomonadati; Pseudomonadota; Alphaproteobacteria; Rhodobacterales; Roseobacteraceae. The record is from RNAcentral.